This 309-nucleotide ribosomal RNA is filed under the name uncultured archaeon. RNAcentral describes it as "bacterial SSU rRNA". It matches the Rfam family "Archaeal small subunit ribosomal RNA", at positions 526 to 834 of the family's 1478-position model. The record is from RNAcentral.
CGGCCUCGAAGGUCCGUCGGGAAAUCCAGCCGCCUAACGGCUGGGCGACCGGCGGAACCCACGAGGCUUGGGACCAGAAGACUCGAGGGGUACGUCCGGGGUAGGAGUGAAAUCCCGUAAUCCUGGACGGACCGCCGAUGGCGAAAGCACCUCGAGAGGAUGGCUCCGACGGUGAGGGACGAAAGCUGGGGUCUCGAACCGGAUUAGAUACCCGGGUAGUCCCAGCCGUAAACGAUGUUCGCUAGGUGCGUCGCCGACUACGAGUCGGCGAUGUGCCGCAGGGAAGCCGCUAAGCGAACCGCCUGGGAA